This 30-nucleotide non-coding RNA is filed under the name Mus musculus (house mouse). Lineage: Eukaryota; Metazoa; Chordata; Mammalia; Rodentia; Muridae. The record is from RNAcentral.
UNGCCUUGGGAUUUGUAGUACGUCUCUGCA